GUUUCCCCGACUUGGGCCUGGGGGAAGACGACGACGCAGGCUGCCAGGGCCGGCGCUGCGGGGCCGUGGCUUCCCGGAGGGCGCAAAAGCGUCAGGCACCUCCUUCGAGCCGGAAUCGAACCAGCGACCUAAGGAUGUCCGUGCCUAGCCAGCCUACAGUCCUCCGCUCUACCAGCUGAGCUACCGAAGGAAAUAAAGUCUUAACAAUGGCCUGCAAAGAGUGGAGAGGGCGCUUGAGAUGCCUGAUGGUCCGUUCUGGGGAAAGGCCAGGGGACCCCUUACACGGGGCUGGACUCCCGAAGGGCACUACCAGAGGUGGAAGUCCAAAUCAAGAGUGUCCGCAGUCGGUGCCCAAGGGGAUCUCCGCAGCAGCGAGCACCUGCGGUGGAUUUCCAGGCGGAACUGAGAGACCAAGAGCGUUUACUAGAUCAGGCCACUACCGGGCGUUCUGAAGAAGCACUUUCACUCAGAGCCACGCCGUAAAUGAACAUCGCCGGGGAUUCUCAUUCGGGCGGCUUAGCACUGCGGGUGAGCCGGCGGAAAGGCCUUUCCUGAGUUUUCGAUUGUAUUUGCAAAUGAGUUUCGAACACGCGAGGACACAAAUGGGCUGAGACGUUCUUCGUGCCGAAAGGAAGGCGAGACCGAACCCCAGCCCUGAGCCGCCACCACCACUCCCGCGGGGCUCCAGCGGACCCCGCCUUCUCGGGUCUCCGANNNNNNNNNNNNNNNNNNNNNNNNNNNNNNNNNNNNNNNNNNNNNNNNNNNNNNNNNNNNNNNNNNNNNNNNNNNNNNNNNNNNNNNNNNNNNNNNNNNNNNNNNNNNNNACUCGACUGCAUAAUUUGUGGUAGUGGGGGACUGCGUUCGCGCUUUCCCCUGGCUUACUCCUGGUGGAAAGAAAGAGUUCCAGGUUUCUUGCGCGCUUCUCGCUGCCUGCCCGGCUUCCCCUCCACCGGGCUGUGCUAUGUGUUCUUCUCGUUCGGUCGCGUUUCUCGUUCGCGGCAAGGCGUGGGCUUGGUCGCACGACGGCGCCUCCUUUCGCCGUUCUCCCGAGUAGCUCUUUCUUUUCGGGCUAAGCUGAGGACCGUGCUGCCGACGUGCGUACGUCGAGCUUGCGGGCUUCCGAGCGAGUGCCCAAGAGUUGCGAGGGCUUUGUGGGGUGGCGGGCGGUCACGCCUACUCCAGAGAAGGUGGUUCCUACGCCGGAUCCGACAGCCAAGCUGGCCGGGUAACCGGUUGCUGGAGAAGAGUUGGAGUCCCUUGGCACGGAGGUCAAUUUGCAUUGCACCUCCACUGGUGGGGAUGUGCACGGGCUGCUCUCUGUGGAAUUCUGCAACCAGGAGACUUGGCUCCUUGGAUGGAGCAAGCACACUGGGGACUAUGUGACUUACCAAACCAAGGAGUAUUCAAGACCAAGGGAAGCCAACUCUCUGCCACGUCCCCUCCCACCCCCCAAUGUGGAAGAACUGAGAGCUUUAGAGAACUAUCCAGAAGCAAAUUGAAGCCUUUACUGCUACAGGUAAGCUAGCAGAAAUUACAGUAGUGUGCCACAAGACCUCAAGUUCCAUACUAAUUUCCAUCAGCAAUUUGCUGAUUGAAAAUUUUCAGAAUGGGGCACCCCCGGUGGCUCAGCAGUUUAGCGCUGCCUUGGGCCCCCAGGGUGUGAUGCUGGAGACCUGGGAUCGAGUCCCACAUCCGGCUCCCUGCAUGGAGCCUGCUUCUCCCUCUGCCUGUCUGUGCCUCUCUCUCUCUGUGUCUCUCGUGAAUGAAUAACAAUCUUUAAAAAAAAAAAUUCUCAGAAUAUACAGGGGCAAGGAUCCAGGUGCAAAUCAGAAGUGCUAUCAAUCUAAUCACCUUUCUCUCAGCUCUCAUACUGACUAUCCAAACUCAAGUCAGGGUGGUGGCAGGAUGGCAAGGGCACACUGUUGUUCAGAUCUCCUCAGCAGCUGUACAGUUUGGGGACAAUUUUUUUAAGAUUUUAUUAUUUAUUCAUGAGAGAUACAAAUAGAGAGACAGAGACAUAGGCAGAGGGAGAAGCGGGAAGCCUGAUCUGGGACUUGAUCCUAGGACCCUGAGAUCCCAACUUGAGCCUAAGGCAGAUGCUCAAACACUGAGCCACUCAGGUGCCCAUUUUGGGAACAUCUAAAGGAAGAAUGAAGGGCAGCCCAGGUGGCUCAGUGGUUUAGCGCUGCCUUCAGCCCAGGGCGUGAUCCUGGAGACCCAAGAUCGAGGCCCACGUCCAGCUCCCUGCGUUGAGCCUGCUUCUCCGUCUGCCUCUCUCUCUGUGCUGCUCAUGAAUAAAUAAAUAAAAUAUUUAAAAAAAAAUAAAGUA
This 2329-nucleotide long non-coding RNA is filed under the name Vulpes vulpes (red fox). Its description in RNAcentral is "lncRNA (ENSVVUG00000029957.1)". The record is from RNAcentral. Lineage: Eukaryota; Metazoa; Chordata; Mammalia; Carnivora; Canidae.